Molecule: ribosomal RNA, 243 nt
Filed under: uncultured bacterium
Lineage: Bacteria
Description: partial 16S ribosomal RNA
Rfam family: Bacterial small subunit ribosomal RNA
Source: RNAcentral
UAACGCGUGAGCAAUCUGCCCAUGUCUGGGGAAUAACAGUUGGAAACGACUGAUAAUACCGCAUAAGACCACAGGAAGGCAUCUUCCAGGGGUAAAAGAUUUAUCGGAUAUGGAUGAGCUCGCGUCUGAUUAGCUUGUUGGUGAGGUAACGGCUCACCAAGGCGACGAUCAGUAGCCGACCUGAGAGGGUGAUCGGCCACAUUGGAACUGAGACACGGUCCAAACUCCUACGGAAGGCAGCAG